CGCUGGCGGCGUGCUUACACAUGCAAGUCGAACGGGAUCCAUCGGGCUUUGCUUGGUGGUGAGAGUGGCGAACGGGUGAGUAAUGCGUGACCGACCUGCCCCAUGCACCGGAAUAGCUCCUGGAAACGGGUGGUAAUGCCGGAUGCUCCAUCACACCGCAUGGUGUGUUGGGAAAGCCUUUGCGGCAUGGGAUGGGGUCGCGUCCUAUCAGCUUGAUGGCGGGGUAACGGCCCACCAUGGCUUCGACGGGUAGCCGGCCUGAGAGGGCGACCGGCCACAUUGGGACUGAGAUACGGCCCAGACUCCUACGGGAGGCAGCAGUGGGGAAUAUUGCACAAUGGGCGCAAGCCUGAUGCAGCGACGCCGCGUGAGGGAUGGAGGCCUUCGGGUUGUAAACCUCUUUUGUUAGGGAGCAAGGCAUUUUUUGUUGAGUGUACCUUUCGAAUAAGCACCGGCUAACUUCGUGCCAGCAGCCGCGG
This 479-nucleotide ribosomal RNA is filed under the name Bifidobacterium breve. RNAcentral's name for it is "bacterial SSU rRNA". It matches the Rfam family "Bacterial small subunit ribosomal RNA", at positions 34 to 520 of the family's 1533-position model. Lineage: Bacteria; Bacillati; Actinomycetota; Actinomycetes; Bifidobacteriales; Bifidobacteriaceae. The record is from RNAcentral.